This 440-nucleotide ribosomal RNA is filed under the name uncultured bacterium. Its description in RNAcentral is "partial 16S ribosomal RNA". It matches the Rfam family "Bacterial small subunit ribosomal RNA", at positions 338 to 795 of the family's 1533-position model. The record is from RNAcentral.
UCUACGGGAGGCAGCAGUGGGGGAUAUUGCUCAAUGGGCGAAACCCUGAUGCAGCGACGCCGCGUGAGUGAAGAAGUAUUUCGGUAUGUAAAGCUCUAUCAGCAGGGAAGAAAAUGACAGUACCUGACCAAGAAGCCACGUCUAACUACGUGCCAGCAGCGGCGGUAAUACGUAGGGGGCCAGCGUUAUCCGGAUUUACUGGGUGUAAAGGGAGCGUAGGCGGUUAUGUAAGUCUGGAGUGAAAGGCCGGGGCCCAACCCCGGGACUGCUUGGGAGACUGUGUAACUGGAGUACAGGAGAGGCAGGCGGAAUUCGUGGUGUAGCGGUGAAAUGCGUAGAUAUCAGGAGGAACACCGGCGGCGAAGGCGGCCUGCUGGACUGAAACUGACGUUGAGGCUCGAAAGCGUGGGGAGCAAACAGGAUUAGAUACCCGGGUAGUC